This 99-nucleotide non-coding RNA is filed under the name Rickettsiales bacterium Ac37b. Its description in RNAcentral is "TPP riboswitch aptamer (THI element)". It matches the Rfam family "TPP riboswitch aptamer (THI element)". Rfam says of the family: Vitamin B(1) in its active form thiamin pyrophosphate (TPP) is an essential coenzyme that is synthesised by coupling of pyrimidine and thiazole moieties in bacteria. The record is from Rfam by way of RNAcentral. RNAcentral also lists the same sequence under 1 other name. Lineage: Bacteria; Pseudomonadati; Pseudomonadota; Alphaproteobacteria; Rickettsiales.
AUUAAUCACCGGGGGUGCUAAAAUAUAUAUUUAGCUGAGAAAAACCCUUAUUACCUGAUUGAGAUAGUGCUUACGUAGGGAGAGUGUUUUAUUAUUAUU